This 117-nucleotide non-coding RNA is filed under the name Homo sapiens (human). Lineage: Eukaryota; Metazoa; Chordata; Mammalia; Primates; Hominidae. The record is from Rfam by way of RNAcentral.
GCCAGGCACGGUGGCCCAUGCCUGUAAUCCCAGCACUUUGGGAGGCUGAGGUGGGUGGAUCACCUGAGGUCAGGAGUUCGAGACCAGCCUGGCCAAUAUGGUGAAAACCUGUCUCUA